CAUCCACCCUGGGUCCAGAAGAUUCUUAAGGAUCGCGGUACAGAUCGGGGGGGUCUUAAAACAUUUCCAGUUUUUGGCCCUCCCAUUUGGGAUUUCUUCAGCCCCACACACUUUUACCAAGUUGGUGGUGGUGUCCGUGGUGGCCGCUCUAAGGCUUCAGGGUCUGAGCAUAGUUCCUUACCUGGACGAUUGGCUCCUCAGAGCCCCUUCCCAAGCGAUCCUGUCCCAACACAUUCAACAGGCUGUCGCCUUCCUUCAUCAGCUAGGAUGGAUAAUCAACUGGGACAAGUCCCAACUUCUGCCAGCCACCUUGGUAAGGUUCCUGGGGUUCGUGGUGGAUUCAGUAAAG
Long non-coding RNA from Bufo bufo (common toad), 349 nucleotides. RefSeq lists it as uncharacterized. NCBI's taxonomy places the organism in Eukaryota, Metazoa, Chordata, Amphibia, Anura, Bufonidae. The record is from RefSeq and is a predicted model, not a curated record. The transcript has 3 exons.